This 119-nucleotide ribosomal RNA is filed under the name Lepisosteus oculatus (spotted gar). The record is from RNAcentral. Lineage: Eukaryota; Metazoa; Chordata; Actinopteri; Semionotiformes; Lepisosteidae.
GUCAGCAACCAUAUCACUCUGCAGCUCACAACUGGCAACUUUUUGCUGCUAAGCAGGUGUGAGCCUGGUCAGUACCUGGUUGGGGGGCCUCCUGGGAGAAACAAAGGUUGCUGCUGGAA